Salarias fasciatus (jewelled blenny) is the source of this 1041-nucleotide long non-coding RNA. RefSeq lists it as uncharacterized. The record is from RefSeq and is a predicted model, not a curated record. Lineage: Eukaryota; Metazoa; Chordata; Actinopteri; Blenniiformes; Blenniidae. The transcript is spliced from 3 exons.
CUCUGAGGACACUGUUGGGAUCAUCUCAGCUGCAUCGUGUCCAGACCAGAGGUCCUCCAGUCAGUCCCCAUGUGUCCUCUCAGCAGAGCUGCAGACACUCUGACUGAACCAAGAGGAACAAACUUCAACUCCAGUCCUGACGUGGGCCUGCACUGCAGCGUCUCGAGGAUGGAGUGUUUCCCUCUGCCCUCCACCUUCACCUCAGAGGAGCCUCCAUGCUGACGGCCUCACUGUGGAGCUGCUGCUGCUGCUGCUGCUGCUGCAAGUCUCUCCUCAUCAAAGUGACGGGACUCUGCAGCGCUGAUGAAGAGGAGGACUGAUUCCUGUUUCCUCCAUCAUGACAAACUCAACCACACAGCAGGGUUCCGUCUGGGUCUCCUGUUCUCUCUGCCUCUCCCACAACAUGGACAAGAACUGUGAGAGCAGCAGCCGUCCAGCCAAGGACAGAACAAGCUUCAUCUGGAGGAAACGGCUGGUCUGAGCUGCUGGACAUUUUGGAACUCAGUCUGGAGGUUGUGAGUUCAAUUCCUGUCUCCCACUGUCUGCAUGUCGAAGUGUCCUUGGGGAAGACACUGAACCCUGAAUUGCCCCCACUGUUGUACGUCGCUUUGGACAAAAGCGUCUGCUCAGUAAAAUUGUGUGAAAAAAGUCUGACUCUUGAAGGACUCAGAAGAGGAAAGCUGUCCUGACUGUUUGAUCUGGGAGGUACGACGAGCCUCUACUGCAUGUUCUUCUUUGUCCCUGAAGCCCAACCGGAAUAGCAGAAAGCCGCCACCUCUGAGCCUGGUUCUGCAAAGGUUUCUUCCUGUUAACAGGGAGUUUUUCCUUUCCACAGUCGCUGAUGCUUGCUCAUGUGGAUCUGUUGGGUUUCAGUUCUGUUUUUUGUCUCUUAAAACAAGACAAAUGGACACAAUUUUGUUCUUUUAUUCAUUGCAAUGUCAGACUGAGCGCUGGUUAACACUAAAUAUAUUCUAUUUUCUGUUGUAAAUGUUUAAGUUUUGAUCUUGUUGAACAGUUAAUAAAAUGUGUCUUUUACUUCAA